GAUGAACGCUGUCUACAGGCUUAACACAUGCAAGUCGAGGGGAAACGCCGGGGAAGCUUGCUUCCCCGGGCGUCGACCGGCGCACGGGUGAGUAACGCGUAUCCAACCUGCCUCUGACUGAGGGAUAACCCGUCGAAAGUCGGCCUAAUACCUCAUGGCAUCGUCUGCGGGCAUCCAACGACGAUUAAAGAUUUCAUCGGUCAGGGAUGGGGAUGCGUCUGAUUAGCUUGUUGGCGGGGUAACGGCCCACCAAGGCUACGAUCAGUAGGGGUUCUGAGAGGAAGGUCCCCCACAUUGGAACUGAGACACGGUCCAAACUCCUACGGGAGGCAGCAGUGAGGAAUAUUGGUCAAUGGGCGGGAGCCUGAACCAGCCAAGUAGAGUGCAGGAUGACGGCCCUAUGGGUUGUAAACUGCUUUUAGGCGGGGAUAAAGUGAGGGGCGUGGCAUUCAUUGCAGGUACCGCAUGAAUAAGGACCGGCUAAUUCCGUG
Molecule: ribosomal RNA, 491 nt
Filed under: uncultured bacterium
Lineage: Bacteria
Description: partial 16S ribosomal RNA
Rfam family: Bacterial small subunit ribosomal RNA
Source: RNAcentral